Morus notabilis is the source of this 1360-nucleotide long non-coding RNA. RefSeq lists it as uncharacterized. The record is from RefSeq and is a predicted model, not a curated record. The transcript has 4 exons. NCBI's taxonomy places the organism in Eukaryota, Viridiplantae, Streptophyta, Magnoliopsida, Rosales, Moraceae.
CUCUCUCCUCCAACGGCUACAUUUCCCCUUUCUCUCUCGCUCCUUUGUCUUCUCUUCCAUUUCCAAUCCAAAACCCUCUCAAUCUCUCUCUCUCCUCCGUUUCUUCUCUAUUUCUCUCUCUAGAUUUCGUAGCCAUGAAGCACUUCAUGAAACCAAGAAACGCGGUCUUGAGGGAUACGACGAUAGAGUCUGCGGCCUCGCCCAACCGUAGCACAGCCAAGCCCCGGCCGUCGUGGAAGCAGAGGGGCUCCAAGGAGAACGCUCCGCCAUCGGAUCCGAACUUUUUGCCCCCGAUUCCGGAGCAGUCGCCGGAAAUCUCUGCCGCCAAGUUGAAGAGCCCGCUCCUGCCACAACCGCCGUCGUCGAACCCUUUUAAGAGAAAGCUGAGCACGGAGACGGUUCCGGGAACUUCGUAAUUGGAACCUGCGAAUCUGGUGUCCAAAAUCUGCGGAGACAGAUGGCCCAAAAUCUCAAGUUCUGCUAGGGCAAAAUUGGAGCAAACUUUACAAUUUCUCUGAAAGUGCUCCGAUUGGUCGGCAAACGCAGGCGAUUCCUUCCCAACCGCGAAACUCUUCUAUCUUCUUAUCCGAUCCAAGCAUUCUCGCUUUUUCUCUCUUCGAUUUCCGUGUCUCUUUCGAAAACUUUCCGACGAAAUCAUUGUCAAGACUAGAUUUUUAUUGCAAUGAGGGCAAUUUCUUUUUUGUUUUUUGGUUGCAGAGUUUGUUGAAUAUGUGUACUGAUAAAGAUGGCAAAAUCGUUUCGACACAGUGUUCGGAAGGAUCUGCAAUGGUGGUUUGUGGUGAAAAGGAUAAAGUUGAGAGUUUUGGAGGUAGAGAAGAGCAUUCUGACGUGAGUGAGGAGGUAACUUGUGCCGUUUGUGGUAAUAAAGUGAGAGGGAAUAACUUCACAAUCAAUUCUCGUGUAGGGGUAGGAAAAGUUGACGAAAGGUGGGCAUCUGAGUUAGGUUGGUAGGUUGGAUUGCGCGCCACAUGACCCUACUCCAAGUCAAGGCUUGGAGGGAUAUUCCACAACCAAACAAUGUGGUGCUGCUAGACUCAAGGAUAAGUUUGAACGGAAUGAGCCUGAUUGAGAAAAAAAGGCCAAGAUAUUAGAUUCCAUCGACCGUCUGUUAAACAAGCAAUUGAAAGAUUGGAGGUGUCGGCUGCACAAAUAUUUCAUACAAAAAAGUGUGGAUAAGAGGAAGUCAAAAAACACAAACACAAACAGGUUCUGGUGCUGGCAGGUUGGGAUUCGUCAUGCGACUAUUGGUCGACUGAAAAGUAUAAGAAAAAAUCAGCAACCAAUGCUUUGAAUCAGCAUUCAAUGAGCUAAAUCAUUUGCUUCUCACGUGUUUGAUAAG